Molecule: ribosomal RNA, 528 nt
Filed under: uncultured bacterium
Lineage: Bacteria
Description: bacterial SSU rRNA
Rfam family: Bacterial small subunit ribosomal RNA
Source: RNAcentral
UAGUCCACGCCGUAAACUAUGGACACUUGGUGUUGGAGGUAUUGACCCCUUCAGUGCCGGAGCUAACGCGUUAAGUGUCCCGCCUGGGGAGUACGGUCGCAAGAUUAAAACUCAAAGAAAUUGACGGGGGCCCGCACAAGCGGUGGAGCAUGUGGUUUAAUUCGAUGCAACGCGAAAUACCUUACCUGGGUUUGAAUUGCAGUGGAAUUUGGUAGAGAUAUCAAAGCUCUUCGGAGCUGCUGUGAAGGUGCUGCAUGGCUGUCGUCAGCUCGUGUCGUGAGAUGUUGGGUUAAGUCCCGCAACGAGCGCAACCCUUACCUUUAGUUGCCAGCCAUUUAGUUGGGCACUCUAAAGGGACUGGCCGACGUUAAGUCGGAGGAAGGUGGGGAUGACGUCGAAGUCCUCAUGGCCCUUAUGUCCAGGGCUACACACGUGCUACAAUGGGAAAUACAAAGGGUUGCUAAGCCGUAAGGUGGAGCUAAUCCCAAAAAUUUCUCUAAGUUCGGAUUGAGGUCUGCAACUCGACCU